Cyprinus carpio (common carp) is the source of this 816-nucleotide long non-coding RNA. RefSeq lists it as uncharacterized. The transcript has 5 exons. NCBI's taxonomy places the organism in Eukaryota, Metazoa, Chordata, Actinopteri, Cypriniformes, Cyprinidae. The record is from RefSeq and is a predicted model, not a curated record.
AUUCCGGGAUGUGUUGAGUCUGAGUGUGCUUUCCAUUGGCUAUUCGUCGUUUCUUAAGUAAUAAUCAUCUUCUCUCUGAAGUGCUCCAACUGAAUAUCAUUGAGUCAGUGUGGGCUUCGUGUUUAACAGUGAAGGGACAAGCCAAGUUGAAUAUAACUCAUCCCAUAGGUUCACAGGAGGAGAGGGCAAACCCUGGAUGACAAAGAGUUGCAUCAGCAAUUACUGAGCGACAUGACUCCAAGAGAGGUCUUGGUGCACUGCAGACUAACACGUACUAGUUCUCCAUGAUCAGAUGAGGAUCAACAAUGUGCUGUCAGGACACAUUAAUGAGCAUGGAUGCAGAAUAAAUUUUUCAAAGAACAAAUGGCUCAAGGUUGAAAACACUGUCGCAGUCUUCCUUUCCUCUCCUCCGUUCUUUCCACGCUCCCACAGUUUUCACAGGCUCCCUGGAUGACUCACAUGCGGCCCUCUGCACCACCUCUGCCCUCCCCCGUAACUCCUAAAGAGAGAUACCCAGAACCUCAAACUACAGACAGAUGGCAUGCAGGAAAUGGACUGAGAUGAAGCUCAAACCGCCAGUCUCCAGACUCCCUUUUUCCUCUGUGGGCUGAACCCAUAAGCUCUGAACACACUACAGAGACUACAAAUCAGCAAGAAACAAGAUGACUGAACUGCAUUGCAAGACGAGGUGAAGAUGCAUGAAAAAUCUGCAGAGAAUGUGGUUUAUUACACUGAACUAAUAGGUUUUGCUCUAUGGCUGCAAUUAAAAAAGUUAUGAAGCAAAAUGUCAGUAAUAUUAGUUGUAAAUGCCCUGGA